Long non-coding RNA from Sorghum bicolor (sorghum), 632 nucleotides. RefSeq lists it as uncharacterized. Lineage: Eukaryota; Viridiplantae; Streptophyta; Magnoliopsida; Poales; Poaceae. The transcript has 3 exons. The record is from RefSeq and is a predicted model, not a curated record.
GCAACGAAGCAGGGCCCCACACCUGCGCUGAUAUUUUGGGGCUCCGUUGGCGACGUCGCGACGAGGCGGCGGGAGGGAAUCCUGGCGGCGGCGAGGUGGGGCCGGUCGGGCCGCCGGAACACAGGCAACCGAUCCCAUCCAGCGUUCCAGCUCACUGUGCUCGCUCUUGUCGUCCCCCGCCGGCCGGUCCAACGUGGCCUAACACACCUGUGACACAGCGCAGGACCCACCGUCGUCUCACAAGAGUACAGGCUAGUUUUUAUUUUAACGUAAAAGACGAAUCAUUCUAUGCUACGAGAAACGAUGGCUCUUGCAUGCAACUUUUCAGGCUUCUUGACUCUUGCAUUCGUGAUCAUUACGCUGGCCAAACCAACCUAAUAAUUCGAUAUGGGGCCAGGAUGGUCACAAGUUCAAAGAUCUUUUGUGAGCGUGGUCGCGUGGAUCUGCAGGACCUUCGCUCGUUGAGUCUUUAAUUUAAUUCGUAAUGGGGCUAAAUUAUGAUGUGUACGAGACUUAGCGAAAACAAUAAUGAGGAUGUUUUUUUGUACAGCCUAUUUUUGUUAGAACGUUCCCCCUUUUUCUCAUCCUGUACUGCUAGUGCAUCAAUCAGGAUGUUUGCUAUCUAAGAUUGG